This 321-nucleotide long non-coding RNA is filed under the name Oryza sativa Indica Group (long-grained rice). RNAcentral describes it as "lncRNA OsLaMu_09g0003840". Lineage: Eukaryota; Viridiplantae; Streptophyta; Magnoliopsida; Poales; Poaceae. The record is from RNAcentral.
AAUGGAAUAAGGAACGGGGAAAGCUACGGGAUUGACAUCAAUAAUGUGACAGCUUGCAUCAGAAAACCUUUCUCAUCGCAAUUCUGUUGUCAGAACAAAAACAGCCGAAUCUCGGCAGGGAAUGGAAUAAGGAAUGGGGAAAGCUACGGGAUCGACAUCAAUAAUGUGACAGCUUGCAUCAGAAAACCUUUCUCAUCGCAAUUUUGUUGUCAGAACAAAAACAGCCCGAAUCUCGGCAGGUGCUAUGGUAGCGUGUCAGAUUGCCAAUCCAAUUGCCCUAAUGUUCUUGACCCUCAUUUAGUGUUUAUUAUUAUCUUGUAA